RNAcentral lists this ribosomal RNA (796 nucleotides) under uncultured Glomeromycotina. RNAcentral's name for it is "SSU rRNA". It matches the Rfam family "Eukaryotic small subunit ribosomal RNA", at positions 314 to 1114 of the family's 1831-position model. The record is from RNAcentral. Lineage: Eukaryota; Fungi; Glomeromycota.
AUCAACUUUCGAUGGUAGGAUAGAGGCCUACCAUGGUGGUAACGGGUAACGGGGUGUUAGGGCACGACACCGGAGAGGGAGCCUGAGAAACGGCUACCACAUCCAAGGAUGGCAGCAGGCGCGCAAAUUACCCAAUCCCGACACGGGGAGGUAGUGACAAUAAAUAACAAUACGGGGUCCUUUCGGGUUUCGUAAUUGGAAUGAGUACAAUUUAAAUCUCUUAACGAGGAACAAUUGGAGGGCAAGUCUGGUGCCAGCAGCCGCGGUAAUUCCAGCUCCAAUAGCGUAUAUUAAAGUUGUUGCAGUUAAAAAGCUCGUAGUUGAAUUUCGGGAUUAGUACGUUGGUCGUGCCUUCGGUACGUACUGGUGUUACUGAUUCCUACCUUCUGACGAACCAUCAUGUCAUUAAUUUGGUGUGGCGGGGAAUCAGGACUGUUACUUUGAAAAAAUUAGAGUGUUUAAAGCAGGCUCGCGCUUGAAUACAUUAGCAUGGAAUAAUGAAAUAGGACGUUGACCCUAUUUUGUUGGUUUCUAGGAUUGACGUAAUGAUUAAUAGGGAUAGUUGGGGGCAUUAGUAUUCAAUUGUCAGAGGUGAAAUUCUUGGAUUUAUUGAAGACUAACUACUGCGAAAGCAUUUGCCAAGGAUGUUUUCAUUAAUCAAGAACGAAAGUUAGGGGAUCGAAGACGAUCAGAUACCGUCGUAGUCUUAACCAUAAACUAUGCCGACUAGGGAUCGGAUGAUGUUAUUUUUAAUGACUCAUUCGGCGCCUUACGGGAAACCAAAGUGUUUGGGUUC